AUGUGUUCUAAGAGGUGGGGGGUUGCAGAGAGGGCCUCAGCGAUCUUCCCCUCAUCUCUUGCCCUCCACCUUCAGGAAGGAAGAUGCUCAGGCCACAGGUGGAGGUGGAACCCAAAGCCCAAGACUACAUAACGUCCUCCCUGAAGAACUGAGCACAGGCAGGAGCUCAAUGGAAACAGGCUCUCAUCGGAUGACAACAAUCCAGCUGCAGGUCACAAGACAUGGCCAGGAACCCAAAACUCCAGUUGAUUACCUUCGGGACAAACUCAAUACUCAAGAUGAUUGCUUUUUUCAUAUCACUCCUAGAGACGCUUUUGCUCCUGGCAGGAAACAGUCAUUUACUUGGAUUACAUCUGAUACUUGGACCAGAAUUGGCUUCUACUUCUCCAGAGUUUACAGCCUGGAGACCUACAGGUACACCCGGUCACGCUGUUGAGCUGAGUCAGGGAUUUGGGGCAGAUCAUUGGUGCAUUCAGGAAAAACAUUCUGCCUGGGAACCCUCAGUGAGGCAAGAGUGAGAAGAAUUACAGCAUAAUACUGGUUGUGAGCUCAUGCUCAAGAUGCAAAAGCCGACCACUUCCAAGACGUGUGAUUGAUCUGGGUAUAUUUCCUCCCUGAGCAUGAGUUUCUUUACCUAUAAAACAGGAUAGAAGACUGCUAGAAGGUUCCAAUGAGCUAUAAAAUAAUACACAGUGUCUGGCCCACAAUAUACGUUCAGUACAUGUGAGCUAACAUGAUUAUUACAUUUAUCAUCUACUGUCUCCACUGUGCCAUUUUCAGCGUGUAUAUUCCCCAACUUAUUUUGGACUUCUUUACUAUGUAAUGAUUCUUCUUUAAAAAAAAAA
Oryctolagus cuniculus (rabbit) is the source of this 845-nucleotide non-coding RNA. Lineage: Eukaryota; Metazoa; Chordata; Mammalia; Lagomorpha; Leporidae. The record is from RefSeq and is a predicted model, not a curated record.